CUACGGGGUGCACCAGUGAGGAAUAUUGCACAAUGGGGGGAACCCUGAUGCAGCAACGCCGCGUGGAGGAUGACGCAUUUCGGUGUGUAAACUCCUUUUAUAUGUCAAGAAAAUGACGGUAGCAUAUGAAUAAGCACCGGCUAACUCCGUGCCAGCAGCCGCGGUAAUACGGAGGGUGCAAGCGUUACUCGGAAUCACUGGGCGUAAAGGGCGCGUAGGCGGGUUGGAAAGUCAGGUGUGAAAUCCUACAGCUUAACUGUAGAACUGCACUUGAAACUUCUAAUCUAGAGUAUGGGAGGGGGAGAUGGAAUUAGUGGUGUAGGGGUAAGAUCCGUAGAUAUCACUAGGAAUACCUAAAGCGAAGGCGAUCUCCUGGAACAUUACUGACGCUAAGGCGUGAAAGCGUGGGGAGCAAACAGGAUUAGAUACCCCGGUAGUC
RNAcentral lists this ribosomal RNA (439 nucleotides) under uncultured bacterium. RNAcentral describes it as "partial 16S ribosomal RNA". It matches the Rfam family "Bacterial small subunit ribosomal RNA", at positions 339 to 795 of the family's 1533-position model. The record is from RNAcentral.